CGAAGGCCGAUACGGUUCUUAAUAAAGAUCAGUGAUACUAUCAAGAGCUGUGAGGGAACUAUGUACGCAACCGGAUAGAAGUCAUGCAGUAAUCCUUUAUAUGAUAUUGUGGGUCUGUGGGAAUUAUUAUUGUCUGAGCUAGAAUCAAAUAAUGUAGAAAGCAAUCAAAUAUUUUAGCGAACUAUGUAAGCAACCGGAAGAAGUAAUCCUUUGUGGCUGUGACGACUACCAUAUUUGGCUCGCUGACAAACAAACGCCAGUACUUGAACUGCGUAGCAGCAUAUCAGAGUAAAUCACGCAGAAAUGGAACGGAAAUCACAGAAAAUACAGUAGACGUUGUGGUGGCAGCUGUAGAGAAGUAUUUGGGUAUACGAGAUUUGACUUCAGAGGAGUUACAGGGUGUGUUGAGUGGUGGUGACCCAUCCUAAAAUUAUUCAAAUUGUAGCCUGUUUCCUUGCGUGGGUUAACGUUGCUUGGUUGUACAUCCUCAAUUCUGGAACUGCAAAUGUAACGUUAUUAUUCUUGUAUGGGUUAGAAUCAAAUCAUGUAGUAGGCAAUCAAAUAUUUUAGAGAACUAUGUCUGCAACAGGAAGGAAGUCAUGCAGUAACCCUUUUAGCCACAACUUCCUAAGAAAAGCUGUGGUCUACAUGUGAUGUACAACAGCUGUUUACAGUUUUUUUACAAACGCUUACACACUAAAGUGGUACUUGAGGCACACUCAGUGAAACCAUUAAGUCAUGUGCCUAAUCUUCAGACCAAGUCUGCAAAACUGCAAGCACGUUAUCUGCUUUACACUCAGUUUGCAAUUGUAAAGCACUUUUUGCAAAACACUCAACACAGUUCUCUACAUUAGACACAUCAUUCAAAUCAGAACUUGAGCACAAUAAAUAGGCUUCAAGUUGGCUUUCUUGGUUUGGACCACAAUGGAGGCCAAUUUUGGAGAGAGGGGAGGGGAGGGGGGGGGCUGGGACGAGGAAAACAAUCACAGAUGAGAUCCGGGCUGUUUUGGUUGAGUUUCAGGGAGGCUGGGCAGAGGGUCCAGCCUAACUUGAGCCGCUACACUGCAGCAAGUGUCAUCCGAACAUUUCAAAAUGAGAACAGAAUUGCUAGACAACCCUUCAAUGGAGGAAGAAAUCGGCUGUUCACUGCAGAGCAGGACCAACACAUUGAAUAUGGUCAUUUUAAACAACCGCAUACGUCUAUGACAACUGCAACCCCACAUCAUCACUGACAACACAACAUUCAGUAACAUAAAUAGUGUGAGUUUAUCCGCACUUGGCCGUCUCCUGAAACGCCAUCAGAUUCGUAUGAAGCAGCUCUACAGAGUACCAUUUGAGCGAAAUUCUGAUGGUGUGAAAAAACUGCGCUAUGAAUACGUACAAAGUUAUGGAACUAGAUGCUGGAUGCUACCAAAUCGAUCCCGCUCCAGAGUACAGUUCUCGGUGUAACGCUCAUUCCUUCGACGAUAAACGCGAA
Long non-coding RNA from Salvelinus sp. IW2-2015, 1477 nucleotides. RefSeq lists it as uncharacterized. The record is from RefSeq and is a predicted model, not a curated record. NCBI's taxonomy places the organism in Eukaryota, Metazoa, Chordata, Actinopteri, Salmoniformes, Salmonidae.